Camponotus floridanus (Florida carpenter ant) is the source of this 40-nucleotide non-coding RNA. Lineage: Eukaryota; Metazoa; Arthropoda; Insecta; Hymenoptera; Formicidae. The record is from Rfam.
CAAACGGCCCUUUUCAGGGCCACCAAUAAUACUGCGAACA